CAACUUUCAACAACGGAUCUCUUGGCUCUCGCAUCGAUGAAGAACGCAGCGAAAUGCGAUACGUAAUGUGAAUUGCAGAAUUCAGUGAAUCAUCGAAUCUUUGAACGCACCUUGCGCCCCUUGGUAUUCCGAGGGACACACCCGUUUGAGUGUCGUGA
Molecule: ribosomal RNA, 158 nt
Filed under: uncultured Lactarius
Lineage: Eukaryota; Fungi; Basidiomycota; Agaricomycetes; Russulales; Russulaceae
Description: 5.8S ribosomal RNA
Rfam family: 5.8S ribosomal RNA
About the family: 5.8S ribosomal RNA (5.8S rRNA) is a component of the large subunit of the eukaryotic ribosome. It is transcribed by RNA polymerase I as part of the 45S precursor that also contains 18S and 28S rRNA.
Source: RNAcentral